RNAcentral lists this ribosomal RNA (253 nucleotides) under uncultured bacterium. RNAcentral describes it as "partial 16S ribosomal RNA". It matches the Rfam family "Bacterial small subunit ribosomal RNA", at positions 524 to 776 of the family's 1533-position model. The record is from RNAcentral.
UACGGAGGGUGCAAGCGUUAUCCGGAUUCACUGGGUUUAAAGGGUGCGUAGGCGGGCAGGUAAGUCCGUGGUGAAAUCUCUGAGCUUAACUCAGAAACUGCCAUGGAUACUAUUUGUCUUGAAUAUUGUGGAGGUGAGCGGAAUAUGUCAUGUAGCGGUGAAAUGCUUAGAUAUGACACAGAACACCGAUUGCGAAGGCAGCUUACUAAGUCGUAACUGACGCUGAUGCACGAAAGCGUGGGGAGCAAACAGG